This 103-nucleotide transfer RNA is filed under the name Colletotrichum chlorophyti. It matches the Rfam family "tRNA". Rfam says of the family: Transfer RNA (tRNA) molecules are approximately 80 nucleotides in length. The record is from Rfam by way of RNAcentral. Lineage: Eukaryota; Fungi; Ascomycota; Sordariomycetes; Glomerellales; Glomerellaceae.
GCCCGAAUGGCUCAGUGGUAAAGCGUCUCACUAGUAUUCCAAGCUCCACAAAGGUGUUGGAUCCGAAAUGAGAAGAUCGCCAGUUCGAUUCUGGCUUUGGGCA